UACAGAGGUGGCGAGCGUUGUUCGGAUUUACUGGGCGUAAAGGGUGCGUAGGCGGCCCCGUGUGUCGGAUGUGAAAGCCCAUGGCUCAACCAUGGAAUGGCAUCCGAAACUGCGGGGCUAGAGUGCAGGAGAGGAGAGUGGAAUUCUUGGUGUAGCGGUGAAAUGCGCAGAUAUCAAGAGGAACACCGGUGGCGAAGGCGGCUCUCUGGAAUGACACUGACGCUGAGGCACGAAAGCCAGGGUAGCAAAAAGG
Molecule: ribosomal RNA, 253 nt
Filed under: uncultured bacterium
Lineage: Bacteria
Description: partial 16S ribosomal RNA
Rfam family: Bacterial small subunit ribosomal RNA
Source: RNAcentral